RNAcentral lists this ribosomal RNA (440 nucleotides) under uncultured bacterium. RNAcentral describes it as "bacterial SSU rRNA". It matches the Rfam family "Bacterial small subunit ribosomal RNA", at positions 954 to 1392 of the family's 1533-position model. The record is from RNAcentral.
GCUAAACGCGAAGAACCUUACCAACCCUUGACAUGGCAGGACGGUUACCAGAGAUGGUUUCCUUCACUUCGGUGACCUGCACACAGGUGCUGCAUGGCUGUCGUCAGCUCGUGUCGUGAGAUGUUGGGUUAAGUCCCGCAACGAGCGCAACCCUCGCCCUUAGUUGCCAUCAUUUGGUUGGGCACUCUAAGGGGACUGCCGGUGAUAAGCCGGAGGAAGGUGGGGGAUGACGUCAAGUCUUCAUGGCCCUUACGGGUUGGGCUACACACGUGCUACAAUGGCGGUGACAGAGGGCUGCUAGUCCGCGAGGACAUGCUAAUCCCUAAAAAGCCGUCUCAGUUCGGAUUGCACUCUGCAACUCGAGUGCAUGAAGUCGGAAUCGCUAGUAAUCGCAGAUCAGCACGCUGCGGUGAAUACGUUCCCGGGUCUUGUACACACCG